AUAGCAUUUCCUGCUCGCUGUACUAAAAUUGGAAUGAUGCAGUGAAGAUUAGCAUGGCCCCUGGGCAAGGAUAGCACAAAGUUUCUGAAGCAUUCCAUAUAAUU
This is a small nuclear RNA of Cercocebus atys (sooty mangabey), 104 nucleotides long. NCBI's taxonomy places the organism in Eukaryota, Metazoa, Chordata, Mammalia, Primates, Cercopithecidae. The record is from Ensembl.